UUAUAAUUUUCUUGCUUGCUUAGCAAUCAACAUCAAGUCCACUGACAAGUCCAAAGCAAGCACAGGAAAUGCCGUCCUGCAGAGGUAAAGGUUAAGGCCAACAUUUCCGAGAACUGAGACAGGAGUGUGCAGAAGAGAAGAGCCCCAAUCCAAUCACUCAGUCUUCCUUGUAGCUGUUCCCAUGUUCUAAGCGUGAGUUCGAUGUCCUGUCUGCCGCCAAGGAUUUUUUAAAUUAUAAGGGUAUUUCAUUUGAAGGCACCAUAUGACCUUUCACUCCCAUGUACUGAAUCUAAUUCCCAGACUGGAAGCUUCCCCAUUUCUGCCAUAAAAAGUGAACAGGUUACUCCUGGCUGCUUAAAUUUCAUGCCUGAAAUAUCCCGGAUAAGCUGCUUGGAACGAGCCAAACAUUACAAUGAAAAUGGGAUCUGGCAUCCUUUCCUGAUUAAUGGCAGGGCUGGAUUCUGUCAGUGUUCAACGACAUGAAAUUCCAAGGCCUGGAACCAAAUGUCCAUGCUUUCCAGUAAGUACAGUUGACCCUUGCACAACACGAAUUUGAACUACGUGGUCCACUUAUACACAGAUUUUCUUCUGCCUCUGCCAACCCUGAGACAGCAAACUUUCCUCCUCCUCCUCCUCAGCCUACUCAACAUGAAGACAAUGAGGAUGGAGAACUUUAUGAUGAUCCACUUCCACCUAAUGAACAGUAAAUAUAUUUUCUUUCAUGAUUUUCUUAAUAACAUUUUCCUUUCUCUAGCUUACCUACUGUAAGAAUACAAUAUGUAAUAUGGAUAAUAUACAAAAUAUGUCUUAAUCAACUGUUUACAUUUUCCGUAAGGUUUCCGGUCAAGAGUAGGCUAUAAGUAGUUAUGUUUUGGGGGAGUCAAAAGUUAUACACAGAUGUUUGACUGUGAGGGGUGGGGGUGCCUCUAACGCCUAUGUUGUUCAACUUUAUAUAAGUC
This 959-nucleotide long non-coding RNA is filed under the name Homo sapiens (human). Its description in RNAcentral is "HSALNT0162648". The record is from RNAcentral. Lineage: Eukaryota; Metazoa; Chordata; Mammalia; Primates; Hominidae.